GUUUGCACACUCUGCAUGUCCUGCAGGACACACUGCUUAGGCCCUGCCAGGCCUGUCUGGACAGGAGAGACUGCCCUGGACACAAGAGCCUGAGCCCAGGACCCUGGAGCCAUGGGGAGCGGCGCGACGCUGAGGGGUGCAGCGGGGUGCAUGAAGGAGCUGGCUGCUGACCCCCAGGGCUGGAAAGGGUAGGAGCAGGGGCUGCCCAGGAGGCUGUUGGCAUCCUGUUCCCUUUGCCCCAAUCCCUUUAACUCUCCCGCUUUUCACGGCAUUGUGUAUAUUUUCCUAAGUAUGGCAGAUGCUUUAUGAAACGAAGUAGGAUUGUAAAUAUAGACAACAAUACGCAGUAUAUUAAUUAUUGCAACUCUCCUACUAAUCUGUUUUGAUACGCUGUUUUAUUGAUAUUUGCAUUUUUUUCUAAAAAGUGAAUCAGUUCAAAAGGCUCACCACAGACCUACCACAUGACCCAGGAAUUCACUUCCAGGUAGAAAUGAAAGCAAGGACAUUGGCCAGAUGUAGUGGUGGCACAUGCCCAUAACCCCAAUAAUCAGAAGGCUGAGGCAGGAGGAUCACCAGGAGUUCAAGGCCAACAUGGGCUCAGUAGUGAAGUCAAGGCCAUCUUAGACUGUAUAGUGAGAUCCUGUUUCAACAAACCAGAAAAGAAAUAAAGUAGGGGCUCUGAGGCUGCUAUUCGCAGCUCUGAUAGCAGCAUUAUUCACAAUAGCCCAAAAUUAAAAUAACCCACAUGUCUAUCUACAGAGGACUGGAUAAAAGGAAUAUGGGAUAUCCAGAUGAAGUAUAUUACUCAGCCAAACAAAGGAGUCAAAAUGUGAUGGGGGCGGGCUUGAAAGCAUGGACAAAGCUUGAAAACAUGCUUAGUGAAAUAAUCUAGUCACUACAGAAUGAAUAUUGUAUGAUUUCACACACGAGGUGCCUAGAAUAGACCAAUUCACAGAAAGAAUUUGGCUGUGGUGGUGUAUGCCUGUGAUCCCAGCACUUGGGAGGCCCAGGCCAGCCUGGGCCACAUAGCAAGACCCAAGAAUUCCAGGUGACAGUUUGGAGCGCAUGGGGGCCGUGGGGUGGGGAUUCUUUUCUGUUUUGUUUUCUGUCCCCAGCGUGAGGAACCGUGGGCCACGCAGCAGACACACAAUCAGUAUGCCCGGACCGCGUGACCGGUGUUGUCCUAUCCGGUCCUAUGAGCAGGACUGUGAGAGAUGUUCUUCUCCCUUCUGUUCAGAGAAGAAAACAGCAACAGUCCAGCAAAACUAGCCCUGAAGAAGAUCCGCUCGGCAUACACUGGAAGCUCCAUGUGGCUGCUGCUUUCUCCACUGUGUGUUCACCCUGCGGCCCAUUUUUCUCCCUUCCCUGUUUUCACUUCCUUUGCUCUCAGCACCCGGUUCCUGCUCCACCUUGAGGGCCUGGGAAGAAUUCCUCCUCCCCUCCCUCUCUCCCCCUUCUCCUCCUCCCCGGGAGGUGCUCUGACAAAUAUGCCCACUGUCCUCACCAUUUCCAGGGGUACUGUUGUUCCUCGAAUGGAGUUCAGGCCUCUUUUGGGCUGGACCAUGGUGCAGCGGGUAUUUAAGGCUCUACUGAGCUGGGCAGAAUUCCCACUGUCAUAGUCCUUCUUAUCAGUAGGUAAUCAGAAGCCCUUGGUCAAACAUCCCUCUGUGUCAGUCAGUAAUGAGACACAGUGGUGUCGUAACCUCCUGACUAUGGUGCGUAACAUACAGCCCUGGGUUUGUGCUGUUCCUGUCAAAGACACAUAGCUCAUUAGCAAGCAAGGAGUCAAACCCACACUGAGGCACAUCCAUCUACUCCAUCAGGAUGGCAAGGUCACGAACAACCAGGAAACCUGGAAAGAUUUUCUAGCUAAAAGGAGCCUGAGGGCCAUAGUGACUAGUACCACCUGUGCUCUCAGUUUGGGUGCUGGACCUGCAAAAACAUAUGUGGUAUAUCAAGUAUCGUGUAGGUUCAGUCCAUGGUUCCAUGGCAGUAUUGAAUCAGUGUCAGUUUCCUAGUCAUCGUGGUCAUUGUAUUUGGGAAAUGUCCUUGUAUUUGGGAAAGGCACAGUUAAAUGUCCAAUGGGAAGAAACCCCUCUGCCUUUGAAUGCAGGAGUGCAGGGUAAGAGAAUGGGCUUGGAGAUCCAGUUCCCCUGGACUAGUCCCCAAGGCCAAGUCAGUUUCCUCCUGUGUGAUGUAGGGCUAGCAGUACACCUGCACCCAAGGGGGGGGGUGCUGAUGAGAUGCUGUCAGAAGGAACCUAAGCUGGUGUCCAGCAGAAGUGAGCCCUCCAUGAAUGCUUACUAGCUUGGUGGCCUAUGCGUGACUCAAGGGGACGCACAACAUCCACUGGAUGAAAUGUUGGCCUUAGGGCUGGGGAUUUAGCUCAGCGGCAUAAGCGCUUGCCUUGCAAGUGUGCAGUCAUGAGUUCAAUCCCCAGUACUGGAAAAAAUAAAGAAAAGAAAAAGAAUUGCUGGCCUUGCAGUGUUGAGACCUGUGGUGGAUUGAAAUCAGUGGUCAACUUAAACACCCGCGGAACUAAAUCAGCGUGGUGCUGAGUGCAGAUAGAUGGUCCACCUGAAGACUGCUGCCAGCAUUAAAAGGAGAAUCAGAGAGGAAGAAUAUUGUUGUUUGGAGCUGGUUCUCCUGGAGGAACUUGUCACGCUGGCUUCCCUAACAUGAAUUCGGCAGUUACCACUGGAGGAGCUCAGGACCUUGUUGCUGAGAAUGGCUGCAGUUCACUUUGGGAGAGCUCUGGCCCUUACUUUGAGCAUCACUUCCUGGCUGCUCCAGGGUAGAACCCUCAACCUACUGACACAGCUCCUUUACCCCACUGGUACAGACUUUCUGGCUUCUACAGCUGACCUUGGGGCCUUCCCAGUGCAGAUCUGUGAAGCAGACUUGCAUGAGUCAUUGUCAUGGGCUCCAGGCCUCCAGUUGGACUUGUGGGAGGCGCUAUCACGGGCUCUGGGUCUUCGUCUGGACGCAUGCAGGUUGCCGUGGGAUGCAGGCCCUGGAUGGAUUCUCUAGGUCUUUGGUGUUAUGGACAGAAUACCUGCACUCUCUUUAUAUCUGACUCCUUAGGUGACCAUUGUAAAUAAUACUGUAAAUUAUGUGUUUUGUGUUGUCUUGUUUUCCUGUUGAUCCCUUGGGAAAAUGUCACUGUGGUCAUGAGGACUGCCAUCUUUGGGGACAACCCCUGGCCAUCAGAUCCUAAGUCCACAUGGAAAAUGUAAAGGAAAGCUCCAGCUCUGACGUUUGCAUCAUUGUCUGGGCCUCUCGCUCCUGAGGCUUCUGUUUCUUCCUAACUGCCUGUGGCUUGAUUGAAUUUUAUAUUUUAUGUGGUA
This is a long non-coding RNA of Cavia porcellus (domestic guinea pig), 3347 nucleotides long. RefSeq lists it as uncharacterized. NCBI's taxonomy places the organism in Eukaryota, Metazoa, Chordata, Mammalia, Rodentia, Caviidae. The record is from RefSeq and is a predicted model, not a curated record. The transcript is spliced from 2 exons.